Candidatus Nomurabacteria bacterium is the source of this 399-nucleotide non-coding RNA. The record is from Rfam. NCBI's taxonomy places the organism in Bacteria, Candidatus Nomuraibacteriota.
GGGGAUGCAAGGCAUAGACAGUUGGCCUGCUCUCAUUGAUGCAUACCGAGCAUGAACAUAAUCUCGUAAAAAUUUGUUUAAAUGUUAAUUGCAAAAUUGACUGCUAAGGCCAAAGCAUUAGUUUCUCCUUACUUCGGUUCGGAGAGCUUUGCUUUCGCUCCAGUAUACGCGUAAGCGAAGCUGGCGUCUCUAUCAUAGACUUCCGAUAUAUGGAUAGAGGUGUAAUAUUAUCGGGAUAAGGAAAUAUCCGCUCUAAUAUUUCACGAAAAUCCAGAGCUCGACUCCAAAAUAUUUUGUCUGUUUCUUAAUUUUGGAGUUUAAACCAAAAAACAAGCUAAGUAUGUAGACUUCUUUAGGGUAACCUUCUGCACGGGGAUUCGAUUUCCCCCAUCUCCACAA